This 1343-nucleotide ribosomal RNA is filed under the name uncultured bacterium. RNAcentral describes it as "16S ribosomal RNA". It matches the Rfam family "Bacterial small subunit ribosomal RNA", at positions 28 to 1378 of the family's 1533-position model. The record is from RNAcentral.
GACGAACGCUGGCGGCGUGCUUAACACAUGCAAGUCGAACGGAAAGGCCCUGCUUUUGUGGGGUGCUCGAGUGGCGAACGGGUGAGUAACACGUGAGUAACCUGCCCUUGACUUUGGGACAACUUCAGGAAACUGGGGCUAAUACCGGAUAGGAGCUCCUGCUGCAUGGUGGGGGUUGGAAAGUUUCGGCGGUUGGGGAUGGACUCGCGGCUUAUCAGCUUGUUGGUGGGGUAGUGGCUUACCAAGGCUUUGACGGGUAGCCGGCCUGAGAGGGUGACCGGCCACAUUGGGACUGAGAUACGGCCCAGACUCCUACGGGAGGCAGCAGUGGGGAAUAUUGCACAAUGGGCGGAAGCCUGAUGCAGCAACGCCGCGUGCGGGAUGACGGCCUUCGGGUUGUAAACCGCUUUCGCCUGUGACGAAGCGUGAGUGACGGUAAUGGGUAAAGAAGCACCGGCUAACUACGUGCCAGCAGCCGCGGUGAUACGUAGGGUGCGAGCGUUGUCCGGAUUUAUUGGGCGUAAAGGGCUCGUAGGUGGUUGAUCGCGUCGGAAGUGUAAUCUUGGGGCUUAACCCUGAGCGUGCUUUCGAUACGGGUUGACUUGAGGAAGGUAGGGGAGAAUGGAAUUCCUGGUGGAGCGGUGGAAUGCGCAGAUAUCAGGAGGAACACCAGUGGCGAAGGCGGUUCUCUGGGCCUUUCCUGACGCUGAGGAGCGAAAGCGUGGGGAGCGAACAGGCUUAGAUACCCUGGUAGUCCACGCUGUAAACGGUGGGUACUAGGUGUGGGGUCCAUUCCACGGGUUCCGUGCCGUAGCUAACGCUUUAAGUACCCCGCCUGGGGAGUACGGCCGCAAGGCUAAAACUCAAAGGAAUUGACGGGGCCCCGCACAAGCGGCGGAGCAUGCGGAUUAAUUCGAUGCAACGCGUAGAACCUUACCUGGGUUUGACAUGGAUCGGGAGUGCUCAGAGAUGGGUGUGCCUCUUUUGGGGUCGGUUCACAGGUGGUGCAUGCCUGUCGUCAGCUCGUGUCGUGAGAUGUUGGGUUAAGUCCCGCAACGAGCGCAACCCUUGUUCACUGUUGCCAGCACGUUAUGGUGGGGACUCAGUGGAGACCGCCGGGGUCAACUCGGAGGAAGGUGGGGAUGACGUCAAGUCAUCAUGCCCCUUAUGUCCAGGGCUUCACGCAUGCUACAAUGGCUGGUACAGAGAGUGGCGAGCCUGUGAGGGUGAGCGAAUCUCGGAAAGCCGGUCUCAGUUCGGAUUGGGGUCUGCAACUCGACCUCAUGAAGUCGGAGUCGCUAGUAAUCGCAGAUCAGCAACGCUGCGGUGAAUACGUUCCCGGG